GGGUCUAAUACCGGAUACUGACCGGCCUGGGCAUCCAGGCGGGUCGAAAGCUCCGGCGGUGAAGGAUGAGCCCGCGGCCUAUCAGCUUGUUGGUGAGGUAACGGCUCACCAAGGCGACGACGGGUAGCCGGCCUGAGAGGGCGACCGGCCACACUGGGACUGAGACACGGCCCAGACUCCUACGGGAGGCAGCAGUGGGGAAUAUUGCACAAUGGGCGAAAGCCUGAUGCAGCGACGCCGCGUGAGGGAUGACGGCCUUCGGGUUGUAAACCUCUUUCAGCAGGGAAGAAGCGAAAGUGACGGUACCUGCAGAAGAAGCGCCGGCUAACUACGUGCCAG
Molecule: ribosomal RNA, 339 nt
Filed under: Streptomyces flaveolus
Lineage: Bacteria; Bacillati; Actinomycetota; Actinomycetes; Kitasatosporales; Streptomycetaceae
Description: bacterial SSU rRNA
Rfam family: Bacterial small subunit ribosomal RNA
Source: RNAcentral